Molecule: ribosomal RNA, 230 nt
Filed under: uncultured bacterium
Lineage: Bacteria
Description: partial 16S ribosomal RNA
Rfam family: Bacterial small subunit ribosomal RNA
Source: RNAcentral
GAUCCUGGCUCAGGACGAACGCUGGCGGCGUGCCUAAUACAUGCAAGUAGAACGCUGAAGGAGGAGCUUGCUUCUCUGGAUGAGUUGCGAACGGGUGAGUAACGCGUAGGUAACCUGCCUGGUAGCGGGGGAUAACUAUUGGAAACGAUAGCUAAAUACCGCAUAAGAGUAGAUGUUGCAUGACAUUUGCUUAAAAAGGUGCAAUUGCAUCACUACCAGAUGGACCUGCG